UUGAUCCUGCCAGUAGUCAUAUGCUUGUCUCAAGGAUUAAGCCAUGCAUGUCUAAGUACAUACCAAACUAAGGUGAAACCGCGAAUGGCUCAUUAAAUCAGUUAUGGUUCACAAGAUAUUGCCAAUCCUACUUGGAUAACUGUGGUAAUUCUAGAGCUAAUACAUGCAUUUAAGCCCUAACCUCACGGGAAGGGCGCAGUUAUUAGUUUUAAAACCAAUCGGGUCUCGUCCCGCUCAUUUGGUGACUCUGGAUAACCUUCUGCCGAGCGAAUGGUCCUUGAACCGUCGCCGCAUCUUUCAAGUGUCUGCCUUAUCAGCUCUCGAUUGUAGGUUAUGCGCCUACAAUGGCUAUAACGGGUAACGGGGAAUCAGGGUUCGAUUCCGGAGAGAGGGCCUGAGAGACGGCCAUCACAUCCAAGGAAGGCAGCAGGCGCGCAAAUUACCCACUCCUAGUCCAGGGAGGUAGCGACGAAAAAUAACGAUGCGGGACUCAUCCGAGGCCUCGCAAUCGGAAUGAGUACAUUAUAAAUCCCUUAACGAGGAUCAAUUGGAGGGCAAGUCUGGUGCCAGCAGCCGCGGUAAUUCCAGCUCCAAUAGCGUAUAUUAAAGUUGCUGCGGUUAAAAAGCUCGUAGUUGGAUCUCAGUUCCAGACCAGUGUUUCUCCGCCCGGAGUUAAUUCUGGCUCUGAACAGUCCGCCGUUCUGCUCGGGGUGCUCUUCAUCGAGUGUCCCGGGUGGUCGGCACGUUUACUUUGAAAAAAUUAGAGUGCUCAAAGCAGGCUUUACGCCUGAAUAGUUGUGCAUGGAAUGAUGAAAUAGGACCUCGGUUCUAUUUUGUUGGCUUCCGGAACCCGAGGUAAUGAUAAAUCGGGACAGACGGGGGCAUUCGUAUUGCGACGCUAGAGGUGAAAUUCUUGGACCGUCGCAAGACGAACUACAGCGAAGGCAUUUGCCAAGAAUGUUUUCAUUAAUCAAGAACGAAAGUUAGAGGUUCGAAGGCGAUCAGAUACCGCCCUAGUUCUAACCUUAAACGAUGCCAACUAGCAAUCCGCAUUAGUUAUUUUAAUGACUCUGCGGGCAGCUUCCGGGAAACCAAAGUCUUUGGGUUCCGGGGGAAGUAUGGUUGCAAAGCUGAAACUUAAAGGAAUUGACGGAAGGGCACCACCAGGAGUGGAGCCUGCGGCUUAAUUUGACUCAACACGGGAAACCUCACCAGGCCCGGACACUGGAAGGAUUGACAGAUUGAGAGCUCUUUCUUGAUUCGGUGGGUGGUGGUGCAUGGCCGUUCUUAGUUGGUGGAGCGAUUUGUCAGGUUAAUUCCGAUAACGAACGAGACUCUAGCCUACUAACUAGUCGACAGAUUCUCCGAAGUCUGUCGAUUCUUCUUCUUAGAGGGAUAAGCGAAAUCUACUCGCACGAAAUUGAGCAAUAACAGGUCUGUGAUGCCCUUAGAUGUCCUGGGCCGCACGCGCGCUACACUGAAGGGAUCAGCGUGUUUUCCCUCUCUGAGAAGAGCGGGUAACCCGUUGAAACCCCUUCGUGAUAGGGAUUGGGGCUUGAAAUUUUUCCCCAUGAACGAGGAAUUCCCAGUAAGCGCAAGUCAUCAGCUUGCGUUGAUUACGUCCCUGCCCUUUGUACACACCGCCCGUCGCUACUACCGAUUGAAUGAUUUAGUGAGGGCUUUGGACUGGUGCUCUUUGUUUUACUACAUCGGGCAACCGGGAAGAUGUCCAAACUUGAUCAUUUAGAGGAAGUAAAAGUCGUAACAAGGUUUCCGUAGGUGAACCGUC
Molecule: ribosomal RNA, 1789 nt
Filed under: Nebalia sp. 1 BMR-2008
Lineage: Eukaryota; Metazoa; Arthropoda; Malacostraca; Leptostraca; Nebaliidae
Description: SSU rRNA
Rfam family: Eukaryotic small subunit ribosomal RNA
Source: RNAcentral